AACCAAAGAAGGAGGAGGAGCCGUUCACGUCGGUUGCUGCGACCUCACCAUCGGGAUCCCUACCGUUGUGCACCACCGUUGUUUGUGGAGUAGUCGCCAUCAAGGCCAAGCCCAGAGGAGGGAGAAAGAGGCUAUCGUGAAUCAGAACUGAGGAAAGGGAAAGAACCAUCGCGAAAGAGGAGGGGGAGGACGCUAUCUAACUGUGCGCCGUCGCUGCAGGAGCCGACCUCACCGUCGCCGCUGCAACCUCCUCCCCCGGCUGUGGUGGUUUUGGUUUUGUUCUUGCCAUGGUUGUCAAGGAAUACCGCUGUUGUCGUUGAGGUUUUUCCGUUAUCAUCAGAACCGCUACGGAUGUUACUGUCACUCUGUUGCCCACGAUUUCCCUUUAUUACAGUAAGCAUCUCUAUUCCGAAACCCUCACAUCUAGUGUGUAUGUACAUGUGUUAUGUUAUGAAUUUGGUGAAAUUCUGAGAUGUAGGUUACGUAAGGUCGAGUUCCGGGUCUUGCAUGUAGAGUUGUAUGGUUGUCGCAUGCAACACCUAGCUUCUGCGUCGCCAUCGGAGCUCUCUGCCACUGUGCAGAUCAUUGGGAGUUGUCACUGGAGCUGCUAUGGUUCCAUUCUCUUGUCCCUUUGUUACUGUUGUUGGUUGGUGCCUUUGUAGUUGUUGCCGCUGAGAAAUCUAGUUGGAGUUGACGCUGUUGUUUUCGGGCUGAGGGAAAGGAGUUUAAUUGACGCGUUGGGUUCGGGUUUCGACUAUUCGAGGUAGGGGUUUUCGUAAAAUUCAUUUUAUCUUACAGAGUUGUUAUAAAUAGAUAUUAAU
Arachis ipaensis is the source of this 821-nucleotide non-coding RNA. NCBI's taxonomy places the organism in Eukaryota, Viridiplantae, Streptophyta, Magnoliopsida, Fabales, Fabaceae. The record is from RefSeq and is a predicted model, not a curated record.